CACGCAGGCGGUGCGGCGCGUUUCGCGUGACAGCGGGGGGCUUAACUCCCCGAGGGUGCGAAAGACGGCCGCACUUGAAGGCCAGAGAGGGACACGGAAUUCCGGGUGGAGUGGUGAAAUGCGUAGAGAUCCGGAGGAACACCGAAGGCGAAGGCAGUGUCCUGGCUGGUGACUGACGCUAAGGUGCGAAAGCCAGGGGAGCGAACGGGAUUAGAUACCCCGGUAGUCCUGGCCGUAAGCGAUGACUACCAGGUGUGGGAGGGAUCGACCCCUUCUGUGCCGCAGUUAACACACUAAGUGGUCCGCCUGGGGAGUACGGUCGCAAGAUUAAAA
RNAcentral lists this ribosomal RNA (333 nucleotides) under uncultured bacterium. RNAcentral's name for it is "bacterial SSU rRNA". It matches the Rfam family "Bacterial small subunit ribosomal RNA", at positions 568 to 899 of the family's 1533-position model. The record is from RNAcentral.